GAUCUGGUUCAGGAUGAACGCUGGCGGCGUGCUUAACACAUGCAAGUCGAGCGAAGCAAUUUAAGUGAAGUUUUCGGAUGGAUCUUAAAUUGACUGAGCGGCGGACGGGUGAGUAACGCGUGGAUAACCUGCCUCACACAGGGGGAUAACAGUUAGAAAUGACUGCUAAUACCGCAUAAGCGCACGGUACUGCAUGGUACAGUGUGAAAAACUCCGGUGGUGUGAGAUGGAUCCGCG
This 237-nucleotide ribosomal RNA is filed under the name uncultured bacterium. Its description in RNAcentral is "partial 16S ribosomal RNA". It matches the Rfam family "Bacterial small subunit ribosomal RNA", at positions 15 to 235 of the family's 1533-position model. The record is from RNAcentral.